AGUGAAGCCUGGCGCUGCUGGAAG
RNAcentral lists this non-coding RNA (24 nucleotides) under Cricetulus griseus (Chinese hamster). Lineage: Eukaryota; Metazoa; Chordata; Mammalia; Rodentia; Cricetidae. The record is from RNAcentral.